UAUUUAAAAUAACAUUAAUUUUAUAUAGCUCUAUAUAAAUAUAUCCAAUAAUAAAUAUAUUUCUAUAAAAUAUAAUUUUUUAUAUUUAUUAUUAUAAAAAUUCAGUGAUAUUUAUAUUUGUCUUUCUGUUUUGUUACCAUUAGAGUACUAUUUAUUUUCUAAUAGAAAAUAAGUGAAAUGACAUUUUUGUUAUCGUAAAUACGUCCAUCCAAAAGCGUCAACUAUUAGAAUUAUGUAGAAAUAACUUUCUAAAAAUUUUCAACGAAUAUUUUCUUCUUUUCUACCAUCACAAAUAAUAUAAGAGAGGGAAAAAGGUCAAUUUAUCUCAUUCAAUUUCGAUAGUAUAGUAGCUCUACUUUAUAUAGUGUAGAACUAUUAUACUGUCGGAAGUAUAGAGGACUUAGGCUUCGUUUGGGAUUGUGGAAAGAUUGCGUUACGUGCGGUGAGAAAAUACGUUGGAAAAAUACCCAGUUUGUUUCCGUACGUAAUAUUGCGUUCCGCAUAUCGUGAUGUGUCGAUUACGAUAUAUUUUCUGCGGUCCCGUCGGAGAACGUAGAAGCAUAUUCCUAUGUUUUUUCCUCAACUCCAUUUUAUCUAACAGCAUUAAAUAGAUCUCAAUACCAAGCUAAGCCUUAGUACUUCCGACUUUUUGGCCCUUUGGAUCAAGGAUUGUACAGUUUGGAUGAUUGCAGCCCUCCUAGGAUUGAGUGGUCCCCAUGAGGUAAUAAUAUUAAUCCAUAAUUUUUCGAUAUCAUUUAUCAAGUGGUCAAAAAAUUUAAAAAAUUAUUUAAAAUACAAUUUAGUUACAAGUUAUUAUUUGUAAACAGCAAAAAAAAUUUCAAAUAUCACUAAGGGCAAUUUUGCAAUAGGUUAUACUUUAUUGUCAGAAUUAUUAAAUUUUAUAAAAUGAAACGAAACAUAUUAUUUCUAUAUACACUGUAAUUCAACAUUAUAUUACUGAUUAA
Molecule: long non-coding RNA, 965 nt
Filed under: Ananas comosus (pineapple)
Lineage: Eukaryota; Viridiplantae; Streptophyta; Magnoliopsida; Poales; Bromeliaceae
Description: long non-coding RNA (ACOM_LNC041301)
Source: RNAcentral